Molecule: ribosomal RNA, 245 nt
Filed under: uncultured bacterium
Lineage: Bacteria
Description: partial 16S ribosomal RNA
Rfam family: Bacterial small subunit ribosomal RNA
Source: RNAcentral
GACGGAGGGUGCUAGCGUUGUUCGGAAUUACUGGGCGUAAAGGGCGCGUAGGCGGCCGCUCAAGUCGGGUGUGAAAGCCCGGGGCUCAACCCCGGAACUGCACUCGAGACUGGGUGGCUGGAGAUCGGAAGAGGAGAGUGGAACACCCAGUGUAGAGGUGAAAUUCGUAGAUAUUGGGUAGAACACCGGUGGCGAAAGCGGCUCUCUGGUCCGAUUCUGACGCUGAGGCGCGAAAGCGUGGGGAG